This 1178-nucleotide ribosomal RNA is filed under the name Escherichia coli. RNAcentral describes it as "partial 23S ribosomal RNA". It matches the Rfam family "Bacterial large subunit ribosomal RNA", at positions 368 to 1550 of the family's 2925-position model. Lineage: Bacteria; Pseudomonadati; Pseudomonadota; Gammaproteobacteria; Enterobacterales; Enterobacteriaceae. The record is from RNAcentral.
CAGCCCCGUACACAAAAAUGCACAUGCUGUGAGCUCGAUGAGUAGGGCGGGACACGUGGUAUCCUGUCUGAAUAUGGGGGGACCAUCCUCCAAGGCUAAAUACUCCUGACUGACCGAUAGUGAACCAGUACCGUGAGGGAAAGGCGAAAAGAACCCCGGCGAGGGGAGUGAAAAAGAACCUGAAACCGUGUACGUACAAGCAGUGGGAGCACAGAGCAAUCUGUGUGACUGCGUACCUUUUGUAUAAUGGGUCAGCGACUUAUAUUCUGUAGCAAGGUUAACCGAAUAGGGGAGCCGAAGGGAAACCGAGUCUUAACUGGGCGUUAAGUUGCAGGGUAUAGACCCGAAACCCGGUGAUCUAGCCAUGGGCAGGUUGAAGGUUGGGUAACACUAACUGGAGGACCGAACCGACUAAUGUUGAAAAAUUAGCGGAUGACUUGUGGCUGGGGGUGAAAGGCCAAUCAAACCGGGAGAUAGCUGGUUCUCCCCGAAAGCUAUUUAGGUAGCGCCUCGUGAAUUCAUCUCCGGGGGUAGAGCACUGUUUCGGCAAGGGGGUCAUCCCGACUUACCAACCCGAUGCAAACUGCGAAUACCGGAGAAUGUUAUCACGGGAGACACACGGCGGGUGCUAACGUCCGUCGUGAAGAGGGAAACAACCCAGACCGCCAGCUAAGGUCCCAAAGUCAUGGUUAAGUGGGAAACGAUGUGGGAAGGCCCAGACAGCCAGGAUGUUGGCUUAGAAGCAGCCAUCAUUUAAAGAAAGCGUAAUAGCUCACUGGUCGAGUCGGCCUGCGCGGAAGAUGUAACGGGGCUAAACCAUGCACCGAAGCUGCGGCAGCGACGCUGAUGCGUUGUUGGGUAGGGGAGCGUUCUGUAAGCCUGCGAAGGUGUGCUGUGAGGCAUGCUGGAGGUAUCAGAAGUGCGAAUGCUGACAUAAGUAACGAUAAAGCGGGUGAAAAGCCCGCUCGCCGGAAGACCAAGGGUUCCUGUCCAACGUUAAUCGGGGCAGGGUGAGUCGACCCCUAAGGCGAGGCCGAAAGGCGUAGUCGAUGGGAAACAGGUUAAUAUUCCUGUACUUGGUGUUACUGCGAAGGGGGGACGGAGAAGGCUAUGUUGGCCGGGCGACGGUUGUCCCGGUUUAAGCGUGUAGGCUGGUUUUCCAGGCAAAUCCGGAAAAC